RNAcentral lists this unclassified non-coding RNA (334 nucleotides) under soil metagenome. Its description in RNAcentral is "partial contains 5.8S ribosomal RNA, internal transcribed spacer 2, and large subunit ribosomal RNA". The stretch from base 1 to 119 matches the Rfam family "5.8S ribosomal RNA", at positions 35 to 154 of the family's 154-position model. The record is from RNAcentral.
GAUGAAGAACGCAGCGAAAUGCGAUACGUAAUGUGAAUUGCAAAUUCAGUGAAUCAUCGAAUCUUUGAACGCACAUUGCGCCCCUUGGUACUCCAUGGGGCAUGCCUGUUCGAGCGUCAUUUACACCCUCAAGCUCAGCUUGGUGUUGGGCGUCUGUCCCGCUUCGUGCGCGGACUCGCCUCAAAUGCAUUGGCAGCGGUCUUGCCAGCUUCUCGCGCAGCACAUUGCGCUUCUAGAGGCUUUGGCGGAUCGGCGUCCAUCAAGUACACCCACAGUUUGACCUCGGAUCAGGUAGGGAUACCCGCUGAACUUAAGCAUAUCAAUAAGCGGAGGA